UUGGCUUAGAAGCAGCCAUCCUUGAAAGAGUGCGUAAUAGCUCACUGGUCAAGUGAUCGUGCGCCGACAAUGUAGCGGGGCUCAAGCACACCGCCGAAGCCGCGGAUCCUCAACAAGUACCCUGUCAAUAUUUUUUGUUGGCCAGGGGUUGGGGGUGGUAGGGGAGCGUUGUGUACUGGGUGAAGCGGCUAAGUGAUUGUGUCGUGGACGGUACGCAAGUGAGAAUGCAGGCAUGAGUAGCGAUACUAGGGUGAGAAACCCUAGCGCCGAAUGACCAAGGGUUCCAGGGCUAGGCUAGUCCGCCCUGGGUGAGUCGGGUCCUAAGGCGAGGCCGACAGGCGUAGUCGAUGGAUAACCGGUUGAUAUUCCGGUACCGGCUAGUAACCGUCAAGUGUUGACUGAAAGGUACUAACCCACGCUAAAAACAUGGCUAGACGCCUUUUGGGUGUUUGGUUGUGGUUUUGGUUUGGGGACAGGCUUUCUUGGUAGGCAAGCGUGUGGAGUGACGCACAGUGGAAGCCUUCGCGAGGUGAUGGUUUACCUCGUUUAACCGUGUAGCUUACUGCUUAGGUAAAUCCGGGUGGUUUUAUGUGAGGCGGGAUGAUGACCACUUUGGUGGGAAGUAGGGGUGAUCCUGUGGUGCCGAGAAAAGCUUCGACGCGAGGUGGCUGGCCGCCCGUACCCUAAACCGACACAGGUGGUCGGGCAGAGUAUGCCUAGGCGCACGAGAUAAUCAUGGUUAAGGAACUCGGCAAAAUGCCCCCGUAACUUCGGGAGAAGGGGGGCCUGAUACUUGAUGAAACCGCUUUUUUGGCUUUCUAGGGUUGAGGGUCGCAGAGACCAGGGAGAAGCGACUGUUUACUAAAAACACAGGUGCGUGCGAAGCCGUAAGGCGAUGUAUACGCACUGACGCCUGCGAAAUUCCUUGUCGGGUAAGUUCCGACCUGCACGAAUGGCGUAACGACUUCUCUACUGUCUCAACCAUGAACUCGGCGAAAUUGCAUUACGAGUAAAGAUGCUCGUUACGCGCAGAAGGACGGAAAGACCCCGGGACCUUUACUAUAGCUUGGUAUUGGUGCGCGUUAUAGCUUGUGUAGGAUAGGUGGGAGACUGUGAAGUGGUCACGCUAGUGAUUGUGGAGUCGUUGUUGAAAUACCACUCUGGUUAUAGCGUGUGCCUGAACCUUGGCCCGUGAUCCGGGUUAGGGACAGUGCCUGGUGGGUAGUUUAACUGGGGCGGUUGCCUCCUAAAUUGUAACGGAGGCGCUCAAAGGUUCCCUCAUCCUGGUCGGUAACCAGGUGUUGAGUGUAAGUGCACAAGGGGGCUUGACUGCGAGACUGACAGGUCGAGCAGGUACGAAAGUAGGAACUAGUGAUCCGGCGAUCCCGUGUGGGUGGGUCGUCGCUCAACGGAUAAAAGGUACCCCGGGGAUAACAGGCUGAUCCUGCCCAAGAGUCCAUAUCGACGGCAUGGUUUGGCACCUCGAUGUCGGCUCGUCG
RNAcentral lists this ribosomal RNA (1499 nucleotides) under human metagenome. Its description in RNAcentral is "bacterial LSU rRNA". It matches the Rfam family "Bacterial large subunit ribosomal RNA", at positions 1101 to 2542 of the family's 2925-position model. The record is from RNAcentral.